UUUUUUUUUCCUAUAUCCCAUUUAUAUAAAAAAAAUUAUAUAAUAAAAAUCCCAUAUCCCAAUAUCACUCGUUAACAUGCUAUAACAUGCCGUGCAAAUUGACAUGAAGCAUUUAAAGACACAGGAGCUUUGCAGUGUAGCCAGCUGUGCAGCGUGAAGUCACUGUACAGUAAAGUGAAUCCCAGCAAUCCGUAAGGUCUCCAAACCGACCAGAACAACCGCUCGAGCUAUCGCGCGAUUAAUGAGUAUCUUGUCUGAAGAGCUUGCAAUCUUCCGCCUGACGCGUCCGGAGCGGACCCUUGAUGUCUGCUCCAAUAAUGAGGCGCAUUCUAGCACACGCGACACAAAGUGCAGGGUGAACAAACCUAGACUGGGUGCAAGUCCUGCUGCUGGUGAUGAAGGGGUUACACGGUGCCUGUUAACCCAGCUGGUGCCAGGACCCUGUCCACACACAGGCAGGCAUUGCAAAGCACUGAGACGGUGUUAUUAACACUUCUGCUGCAAAAUCCCAGUCUACAAACCCUUGCUGGACUUUGCAAAAAUAAAACCAAAGUAAAGAGAACCAUGCAAUAUUCUAUUUGGACCCCACAGAUCAGUUAACCCCCCUUACCCCAAAAUGCCAUGCCGAGUCCUUUGGGGAACUUUUAGUAUUAACCCAAGUACGCCCAGAUCAGUUUUAACCCUCUAUUUCCCUGUACAAGCAAAGCAUGCAAUAGGUACCCUACACAUGCA
Molecule: non-coding RNA, 732 nt
Organism: Pelobates cultripes (western spadefoot toad)
Lineage: Eukaryota; Metazoa; Chordata; Amphibia; Anura; Pelobatidae
Source: the annotation of a GenBank genome assembly